UGCAACGCGAUCAAUUAUUAGGGGAGUUACUUAAAAAAUAAUUUAUUUAGCAUAAUGUAUAGUUCUACAGUGGAAAGCGACAAUGCACCUAAAGAAGAGGUAGUGGAAAUUAUGACAGAAAAUCUACGUUAUGGAAAUAAUGACAGGGGAAUGCGGCCCUAAAAAAAGAAGACAAUUUCUUUGAGUUUAUGAGCGAUUCAAUAACUGAGGACCAGUUGAGAAAGGUUUUGCAGCUAAAAAAAAAACGAUUUUUUAAAACUCAAGUUGCCUUAACGUAAUAAAAGUAUC
This is a long non-coding RNA of Drosophila albomicans, 288 nucleotides long. RefSeq lists it as uncharacterized. The record is from RefSeq and is a predicted model, not a curated record. The transcript has 3 exons. Lineage: Eukaryota; Metazoa; Arthropoda; Insecta; Diptera; Drosophilidae.